RNAcentral lists this ribosomal RNA (453 nucleotides) under uncultured bacterium. RNAcentral's name for it is "bacterial SSU rRNA". It matches the Rfam family "Bacterial small subunit ribosomal RNA", at positions 340 to 786 of the family's 1533-position model. The record is from RNAcentral.
UACGGAAGGCAGCAGUGGGGAAUAUUGCACAAUGGGCGCAAGCCUGAUGCAGCCAUGCCGCGUGUAUGAAAAAGGCCUUCGGGUUGUAAAGUACUUUCAGUCGUGAGGAAGGUGUUAAGGUUAAUAACCUUAGCAAUUGACGUUAGCGACAGAAGAAGCACCGGCUAACUCCGUGCCAGCAGCCGCGGUAAUACGGAGGGUGCGAGCGUUAAUCGGAAUUACUAGGCGUAAAGGGCACGCAGGCGGUUAAUUAAGUUGGAUGUGAAAUCCCCGGGCUUAACCUGGGAAUGGCAUUCAAGACUGGUUAGCUAGAGUCUUGUAGAGGGGGUAGAAUUCCAUGUGUAGCGGUGAAAUGCGUAGAGAUGUGGAGGAAUACCGGUGGCGAAGGCGGCCCCUGGACAAAGACUGACGCUCAUGUGCGAAAGCGUGGGGAGCAAACAGGGAUUAGAUACC